This 253-nucleotide ribosomal RNA is filed under the name uncultured bacterium. RNAcentral's name for it is "partial 16S ribosomal RNA". It matches the Rfam family "Bacterial small subunit ribosomal RNA", at positions 524 to 776 of the family's 1533-position model. The record is from RNAcentral.
UACGAGUGCCCCAAGCGUUAUCCGGAAUUAUUGGGCGUAAAGGGUGUGUAGGUGGUUGUGUUAGUCUUCUGUUAAAGCUCUCGGCUUAACCGGGAACAUGCAGAGGAAACGGCACGACUAGAGGAUGUGAGAGGUGUACAGAACUCAUGGUGUAGGGGUGAAAUCCGUUGAUAUCAUGGGGAAUACCAAAAGCGAAGGCAGUACACUGGCGCAUUCCUGACACUGAGACACGAAAGCGUGGGUAGCGAAUGGG